UUUCUACUGCAGCAAAACCUCCGUGUGGCAAUCUAAUGUCACUGCACUGGGCAAGUAGACCUUAGUUUGGUUCUAAAACACCGCCAAGCACUGGAAGCUCUGCGCUGAGCUCUGCUGUGGGAGGUCCAACUGACCAUGAAACCAGUCAACUAGAAGCUACUAGCGGGUUUCCACCUAGUUGGUUGGAUUGGAGAACGUUUCAUGAAGAAGGUAGCAUUUGUACCAGAUCUUGCAAAGUUAACAUGAUUUCAACAGGUGCACAUUUAGAGGAUAGAAUAGUCCAGGCUCAGCAAAGGUGCCGCAGUUCCAGAAAGCAUAGCACAGGCCUUGCUGUAAGUGGUUUUCAGCCAUUACUACUGACAGUUUCUUUACCAUAUGUUCUGCCUUUUUCUUUUUGCAGGGAGGAGAGGGAUGGGGAUCAAAUGUAUCAGAAAGGAGCUAAAUCUGAUGCCUACUCAACGUGAAGACAAUGAGAAGCCCUUUGUGAUGAUCCACGUCCACCUAAUGAAUAACCAAGUCAUCUGACUCCAACCUAACUCUGGGAAACUGAGAAAUGGCUUCUGUGUGCUCAGGAAGAAGAAACAGAUGGGAUUGGUGAGCAUCUAGCCAAUUUCCACCACAAAUGCUCAUUUUGGCUGCCUCCAGGCCAAAGGUAAAAACUAAAAAGCCAGAGAAUACUAAAUGUUGGCCAAGAUGAGGAAAACAGAAACUCUCAUCCUCUGCUAGUUGGAAUGAAAAUUGAUGCAACGUCCCUGGAAAACAGUUUGGUAUUACCUAGCAAAGUAGAACCUGUGCCUCCCCUACAACCCAGCAAUUCCACUC
RNAcentral lists this long non-coding RNA (822 nucleotides) under Homo sapiens (human). Its description in RNAcentral is "non-protein coding lnc-ACAA1-2:2". Lineage: Eukaryota; Metazoa; Chordata; Mammalia; Primates; Hominidae. The record is from RNAcentral.